Molecule: ribosomal RNA, 384 nt
Filed under: uncultured bacterium
Lineage: Bacteria
Description: bacterial SSU rRNA
Rfam family: Bacterial small subunit ribosomal RNA
Source: RNAcentral
GACGAACGCUGGCGGCGUGCUUAACACAUGCAAGUCGAGCGGUAAGGCCCUUUCGGGGGUACACGAGCGGCGAACGGGUGAGUAACACGUGGGUGACCUGCCUUUAGCUCUGGGAUAAGCCUGGGAAACCGGGUCUAUACCGGAUAUGACUCCGCGGCGCGUGUUGUGGGGUGGAAAGCCUUGUGCGGCUGAGGAUGGGCCCGCGGCCUAUCAGCUUGUUGGUGGGGUGAUGGCCUACCAAGGCGACGACGGGUAGCCGGCCUGAGAGGGCGACCGGCCACACUGGGACUGAGAUACGGCCCAGACUCCUACGGGAGGCAGCAGUAGGGAAUAUUGGUCAAUGGGAUGGAAGUCUGAACCAGCCAUGCCGCGUGCAAGGAAGAA